This 613-nucleotide ribosomal RNA is filed under the name fungal sp. SLZ62. Its description in RNAcentral is "eukaryotic LSU rRNA". The stretch from base 231 to 384 matches the Rfam family "5.8S ribosomal RNA". Lineage: Eukaryota; Fungi. The record is from RNAcentral.
UCCGUAGGUGAACCUGCGGAGGGAUCAUUACCGAGUUUACAACUCCCAAACCCAAUGUGAACGUUACCAAACUGUUGCCUCGGCGGGAUCUCUGCCCCGGGUGCGUCGCAGCCCCGGACCAAGGCGCCCGCCGGAGGACCAACCAAAACUCUUUAUGUAUACCCCCUCGCGGGUUUUUUACAAUCUGAGCCAUCUCGGCGCCCCUCGUGGGCGUUUCGAAAAUGAAUCAAAACUUUCAACAACGGAUCUCUUGGUUCUGGCAUCGAUGAAGAACGCAGCGAAAUGCGAUAAGUAAUGUGAAUUGCAGAAUUCAGUGAAUCAUCGAAUCUUUGAACGCACAUUGCGCCCGCCAGUAUUCUGGCGGGCAUGCCUGUCCGAGCGUCAUUUCAACCCUCGAACCCCUCCGGGGGGUCGGCGUUGGGGAUCGGCCCUUUACGGGGCCGGCCCCGAAAUACAGUGGCGGUCUCGCCGCAGCCUCUCCUGCGCAGUAGUUUGCACACUCGCAUCGGGAGCGCGGCGCGUCCAUUGCCGUAAAACACCCAACUUUCUGAAAUGUUGACCUCGGAUCAGGUAGGAAUACCCGCUGAACUUAAGCAUAUCAAUAAGCGGAGGA